CAGGAUAUAAUUUAAAGUAGAAUGUUAGUUUUGGGGAUUAACUGUGAGAGUUAAAUUCUCUUUAUCCUGA
Molecule: transfer RNA, 70 nt
Filed under: Ameerega hahneli
Lineage: Eukaryota; Metazoa; Chordata; Amphibia; Anura; Dendrobatidae
Description: tRNA-Pro
Rfam family: tRNA
About the family: Transfer RNA (tRNA) molecules are approximately 80 nucleotides in length. Their secondary structure includes four short double-helical elements and three loops (D, anti-codon, and T loops).
Source: RNAcentral